RNAcentral lists this ribosomal RNA (1097 nucleotides) under Diplodia seriata. RNAcentral describes it as "SSU rRNA". It matches the Rfam family "Eukaryotic small subunit ribosomal RNA", at positions 37 to 1144 of the family's 1831-position model. The record is from RNAcentral. Lineage: Eukaryota; Fungi; Ascomycota; Dothideomycetes; Botryosphaeriales; Botryosphaeriaceae.
CUCAAGAUAAGCCAUGCAUGUCUAAGUAUAAGCAAUCUAUACUGUGAAACUGCGAAUGGCUCAUUAAAUCAGUUAUCGUUUAUUUGAUAGUACCUUACUACUUGGAUAACCGUGGUAAUUCUAGAGCUAAUACAUGCUAAAAACCCCGACUUCGGAAGGGGUGUAUUUAUUAGAUAAAAAACCAAUGCCCUUCGGGGCUCCUUGGUGAAUCAUGAUAACUUAACGAAUCGCAUGGCCUUGCGCCGGCGAUGGUUCAUUCAAAUUUCUGCCCUAUCAACUUUCGAUGGUAGGAUAGUGGCCUACCAUGGUAUCAACGGGUAACGGGGAAUUAGGGUUCUAUUCCGGAGAGGGAGCCUGAGAAACGGCUACCACAUCCAAGGAAGGCAGCAGGCGCGCAAAUUACCCAAUCCCGACACGGGGAGGUAGUGACAAUAAAUACUGAUACAGGGCUCUUUUGGGUCUUGUAAUUGGAAUGAGUACAAUUUAAAUACCUUAACGAGGAACAAUUGGAGGGCAAGUCUGGUGCCAGCAGCCGCGGUAAUUCCAGCUCCAAUAGCGUAUAUUAAAGUUGUUGCAGUUAAAAAGCUCGUAGUUGAACCUUGGGCCUGGCUGGCCGGUCUGCCUCACCGCAUGUACUGGUUCGGCCGGGCCUUUCCUCCUGGGGAUCCGCAUGCCCUUCACUGGGUGUGUUGGGGAACCAGGACUUUUACUUUGAAAAAAUUAGAGUGUUCAAAGCAGGCCUUUGCUCGAAUACAUUAGCAUGGAAUAAUAGAAUAGGACGUGCGGUCCUAUUUUGUUGGUUUCUAGGACCGCCGUAAUGAUUAAUAGGGAUAGUCGGGGGCAUCAGUAUUCAGUUGUCAGAGGUGAAAUUCUUGGAUUUACUGAAGACUAACUACUGCGAAAGCAUUUGCCAAGGAUGUUUUCAUUAAUCAGUGAACGAAAGUUAGGGGAUCGAAGACGAUCAGAUACCGUCGUAGUCUUAACCGUAAACUAUGCCGACUAGGGAUCGGGCGAUGUUAUUCUUUUGACUCGCUCGGCACCUUACGAGAAAUCAAAGUCUUUGGGUUCUGGGGGGAAUAUGGUCCCAAGGCUGAACU